UUAAGCGAACAAGCGUACACGGUGGAUGCCCUGGCAGUCAGAGGCGAUGAAGGACGUGCUAAUCUGCGAAAAGCGCCGGUAAGGUGAUAUGAACCGUUAUAACCGGCGAUGUCCGAAUGGGGAAACCCGGUGCACUUCGGUGCAUCAUCGUUAGCUGAAUACAUAGGCUAACGAGGCGAACCGGGGGAACUGAAACAUCUAAGUACCCCGAGGAAAAGAAAUCAACCGAGAUUCCCCCAGUAGCGGCGAGCGAACGGGGAACAGCCCAGAGCCUGAAUCAGCUUGUGUGUCAGUGGAACGGUCUGGAAAGGCCGGCGAUACAGGGUGACAGCCCCGUACACGAAGGCACACAGGCUGUGAGCUCGAUGAGUAGGGCGGGACACGUGAUAUCCUGUCUGAAGAUGGGGGGACCAUCCUCCAAGGCUAAAUACUCCUGACUGACCGAUAGUGAACCAGUACCGUGAGGGAAAGGCGAAAAGAACCCCGGCGAGGGGAGUGAAACAGAACCUGAAACCGUGUACGUACAAGCAGUGGGAGCCUUCGUAAGAGGGUGACUGCGUACCUUUUGUAUAAUGGGUCAGCGACUUAUAUUCUGUAGCAAGGUUAACCGUAUAGGGGAGCCGAAGGGAAACCGAGUCUUAACCGGGCGUUAAGUUGCAGGGUAUAGACCCGAAACCCGGUGAUCUAGCCAUGGGCAGGUUGAAGGUUGGGUAACACUAACUGGAGGACCGAACCGACUAAUGUUGAAAAAUUAGCGGAUGACCUGUGGCUGGGGGUGAAAGGCCAAUCAAACCGGGAGAUAGCUGGUUCUCCCCGAAAGCUAUUUAGGUAGCGCCUCGUGAACUCAUCUCCGGGGGUAGAGCACUGUUUCGGCUAGGGGGCCAUCCCGGCUUACCAACCCGAUGCAAACUGCGAAUACCGGAGAAUGUUAUCACGGGAGACACACGGCGGGUGCUAACGUCCGUCGUGAAGAGGGAAACAACCCAGACCGCCAGCUAAGGUCCCAAAGUCAUGGUUAAGUGGAAACGAUGUGGGAAGGCCCAGACAGCCAGGAUGUUGGCUUAGAAGCAGCCAUCAUUUAAAGAAAGCGUAAUAGCUCACUGGUCGAGUCGGCCUGCGCGGAAGAUGUAACGGGGCUAAACCAUGCACCGAAGCUGCGGCAGCGACACUAUGUGUUGUUGGGUAGGGGAGCGUUCUGUAAGCCUGCGAAGGUGUGCUGUGAGGCAUGCUGGAGGUAUCAGAAGUGCGAAUGCUGACAUAAGUAACGAUAAAGCGGGUGAAAAGCCCGCUCGCCGGAAGACCAAGGGUUCCUGUCCAACGUUAAUCGGGGCAGGGUGAGUCGACCCCUAAGGCGAGGCCGAAAGGCGUAGUCGAUGGGAAACAGGUUAAUAUUCCUGUACUUGGUGUUACUGCGAAGGGGGGACGGAGAAGGCUAUGUCGGCCGGGCGACGGUUGUCCCGGUUUAAGCGUGUAGGCUGACUUUCCAGGCAAAUCCGGAAGGUUAAGGCUGAGGCGUGAUGACGAGGCACCACGGUGCUGAAGUGACAAAUGCCCUGCUUCCAGGAAAAGCCUCUAAGCAUCAGGUAACAUCAAAUCGUACCCCAAACCGACACAGGUGGUCAGGUAGAGAAUACCAAGGCGCUUGAGAGAACUCGGGUGAAGGAACUAGGCAAAAUGGUGCCGUAACUUCGGGAGAAGGCACGCUGACAUGUAGGUGAAGCCCCUGCGGGUGGAGCUGAAGUCAGUCGAAGAUACCAGCUGGCUGCAACUGUUUAUUAAAAACACAGCACUGUGCAAACACGAAAGUGGACGUAUACGGUGUGACGCCUGCCCGGUGCCGGAAGGUUAAUUGAUGGGGUUAUCGCAAGAGAAGCUCCUGAUCGAAGCCCCGGUAAACGGCGGCCGUAACUAUAACGGUCCUAAGGUAGCGAAAUUCCUUGUCGGGUAAGUUCCGACCUGCACGAAUGGCGUAAUGAUGGCCAGGCUGUCUCCACCCGAGACUCAGUGAAAUUGAACUCGCUGUGAAGAUGCAGUGUACCCGCGGCAAGACGGAAAGACCCCGUGAACCUUUACUACAGCUUGACACUGAACAUUGAGCCUUGAUGUGUAGGAUAGGUGGGAGGCUUUGAAGCGUGGACGCCAGUCUGCGUGGAGCCGACCUUGAAAUACCACCCUUUAAUGUUUGAUGUUCUAACCUGGCGCCGUAAUCCGGCGUGGGGACAGUGUCUGGUGGGUAGUUUGACUGGGGCGGUCUCCUCCCAAAGUGUAACGGAGGAGCACGAAGGUCAGCUAAUCCUGGUCGGACAUCAGGAGGUUAGUGCAAUGGCAUAAGCUGGCUUGACUGCGAGAGUGACGGCUCGAGCAGGUGCGAAAGCAGGUCAUAGUGAUCCGGUGGUUCUGUAUGGAAGGGCCAUCGCUCAACGGAUAAAAGGUACUCCGGGGAUAACAGGCUGAUACCGCCCAAGAGUUCAUAUCGACGGCGGUGUUUGGCACCUCGAUGUCGGCUCAUCACAUCCUGGGGCUGAAGUAGGUCCCAAGGGUAUGGCUGUUCGCCAUUUAAAGUGGUACGCGAGCUGGGUUUAGAACGUCGUGAGACAGUUCGGUCCCUAUCUGCCGUGGGCGCUGGAGAAUUGAGGGGGGCUGCUCCCAGUACGAGAGGACCGGAGUGGACGCAUCACUGGUGUUCGGGUUGUCAUGCCAAUGGCACUGCCCGGUAGCUAAAUGCGGAAGAGAUAAGUGCUGAAAGCAUCUAAGCACGAAACUUGCCCCGAGAUGAGUUCUCCCUGAGACUUUAAGUCUCCUGAAGGAACGUUGAAGACGACGACGUUGAUAGGCCGGGUGUGUAAGCGCAGCGAUGCGUUGAGCUAACCGGUACUAAUGAACCGUGAGGCUUAACCUU
This 2899-nucleotide ribosomal RNA is filed under the name Cronobacter sakazakii E764. RNAcentral's name for it is "bacterial LSU rRNA". It matches the Rfam family "Bacterial large subunit ribosomal RNA". Lineage: Bacteria; Pseudomonadati; Pseudomonadota; Gammaproteobacteria; Enterobacterales; Enterobacteriaceae. The record is from RNAcentral.